This 223-nucleotide unclassified non-coding RNA is filed under the name Hevea brasiliensis (rubber tree). Lineage: Eukaryota; Viridiplantae; Streptophyta; Magnoliopsida; Malpighiales; Euphorbiaceae. The record is from RNAcentral.
UAAAUAUCCACUGUGAUCCUUGUGCCAAUGCAAAAUCCACGACAGCGUCUAGGCUGAUUUUUCUGCUAACAGCAUCCAUAAAUACAUCAAAUUCAUCCAUUGCUCUAAAUGGAGCUUCAGUCAUCUCAUGAAGAGCAAGUGCAAAGCACAAAGUUGAAAAAGAGCGUUCUCCCCCUGAAAGUCCUCGUGUGUCACGAACACUGCUGCUUGAUGCAUCUUGGGG